RNAcentral lists this long non-coding RNA (1316 nucleotides) under Sorghum bicolor (sorghum). RNAcentral's name for it is "long non-coding RNA (SBIC_LNC016583)". The record is from RNAcentral. Lineage: Eukaryota; Viridiplantae; Streptophyta; Magnoliopsida; Poales; Poaceae.
GUGCCCAACGGUUAGUCCUCAUCCCCAGCGGGAUGGAGACAGGUCUUGCAGAAACCGUCAUAGAAGAUGUCAUCUGCAACAAGUGGGAAUAAACCCUGAGUACGAGAAUGUACUCAGCUACACUUACCCGUCUAGUAAAAUAUAAAAGACACCAAGGAUCAUGCAAGGCUAAAAUAUAAAAGUAGAGCUGGUUGACUCGACAUUUUUGCCAAAAGCCUUUAUUAAGACUAACACAAAGUAAGAGCAUCAUAUUUAUUUAUCAUCAGCCUACCACUAGAUUAGCACCUGUACUACAACACAUCACUUGAUUAUUACAAGCAAUAAUAACCAUAUCAGGUUCAUCAUCUGUUCUUUUUACUAUCAUCAUUCUCAUGAACCAAGUUCAUUAGUGAAUGCUACGUUUGCCGCUGCUCUGUCAAGUUCUCACUGACCGGGAGAGACGGCGAUUCAAAUCGAAUUCCUAUCCAGCUGGAGGGUUAUUCCUAGCACUCACCCAAGCAUCCCCCGUCGGAGAGCCAACGGGUCACCUUUGAUACAACUCAGGAAUCGCGGCUCCGAUCAGCGCCGCACUCCCAGGGCUACCACUCUGCCAGAGAGGUCAGGAAUUUUAACUCACCUGCCUUUGGGCUUACGCCAAUGGUCCCCCACACACCGCACUUCCUCCGGUAGUGCGCACUUUAUACUUGCCGGUCUUCCAGCCUGAGUCAUACUACUCGGCUUCGCGGUCGGAACGAGUUAUCCGGCCGACUAAGUGUUAGGCAUGCGUUCAACAUGACAAGAGGACGUACAACGAUCGGUCCUUAGCUGCCACAGACGGAGUUACUACAAACUUGCAAAACUCUGCCCGGCUUAAGUCAAAUUAAUCAGGUUCCAUCCAUGAUAGCACAUAUAGACCAUCGUGAUCCGACAUAACCCUAUAUCGCGCAGGUGACAGGAUAUCACCUGACUUCUACCGAUUAAAGCAUGGCUAAGCUGCUACUCGAUCCUAACUCUAUAACCGGGUAGUGGUAAGAUAUCUGGACAAGGAUUGAGUAAAACGCAGCAAAGGUUUCAUCACAACUCCUAUACUUAAUGCACCAACAGAUAUAACAUAUUAAUUAAACUUUCAAAAGUAAAGGGAGGCUUAGAAUGCUCCGGGGCUUGCCUUUCACGAACGAAGCUGGCUCGUGACUUGGACACUCAACUUCUUCUUCUGGCUCCUCGGAUCCGACUUGCUGGACCUCCACCUCUUGGCUGCCCUCCUGGCCUUCGGGAUUCACUUGCAGAUCGAAGGAGGCGGCCACGUCCGAUGCACCUAUUGCAUGCUCGAGGAAUAA